This 468-nucleotide ribosomal RNA is filed under the name uncultured bacterium. Its description in RNAcentral is "partial 16S ribosomal RNA". It matches the Rfam family "Bacterial small subunit ribosomal RNA", at positions 28 to 507 of the family's 1533-position model. The record is from RNAcentral.
GACGAACGCUGGCGGCGUGCUUAACACAUGCAAGUCGAACGGAAAGGCCCUGCUUUUGUGGGGUGCUCGAUUGGCGAACGGGUGAGUAACACGUGAGUAACCUGCCCCUGACUUUGGGAUAACUUCAGGAAACUGGGGCUAAUACCGGAUAGGAUCUCCUGCUGCAUGGUGGGGGUUGGAAAGUUUCGGCGGUUGGGGAUGGACUCGCGGCUUAUCAGCUUGUUGGUGGGGUAGUGGCUUACCAAGGCUUCGACGGGUAGCCGGCCUGAGAGGGUGACCGGGCACAAUGGGACUGAGAUACGGCCCAGACUCCUACGGGAGGCAGCAGUGGGGAAUAUUGCACAAUGGGCGGAAGCCUGAUGCAGCAACGCCGCGUGCGGGAUGACGGCCUUCGGGUUGUAAACCGCUUUCGCCUGUGACGAAGCGUGAGUGACGGUAAUGGGUAAAGAAGCACCGGCUAACUACGUG